Molecule: non-coding RNA, 1192 nt
Organism: Malus domestica (apple)
Lineage: Eukaryota; Viridiplantae; Streptophyta; Magnoliopsida; Rosales; Rosaceae
Source: RefSeq, a predicted model, not a curated record
AAAUUGAAAGUUUUUUAUGCAUAGCCUCAUAUGCUGGUGGGGGAAAGUAUCAGGUGAACCAUCUUCAUGGUGGUAUGUACGCUGUUGAUUUGGAACGUCAUACAUGUUCUUGUCGAAAGUGGGAUUUAUGUGGAAUCCCAUGUCCACAUGCUAUUACUGCAAUAGGCAAGAAAGAGCAUAACCCACUUGAUUAUGUUCAUUCUUGUUAUAAGAGGCCAGCAUAUGACAGGGCUUAUGAGGGAUACAUUUCUCCGAUGCCUGGUCCAAAAGAGUGGAGGAAAACAGGCCUUGUGCCUAUCAAGCCCCCUUUGUAUCACAAACAACCUGGGAGACCUAAAACUUGUAGAAAAAGGGAAGCUGAUGAGAUACCAAAAAAGGCAACAAAGUUGAGAAGAUAUGGCAUUGUUAUUAAUUGCAACAUUUGUGGUGUUGAUGGUCAUAACUCAGCAACUUGUCGCAACAAUGAGCAUGUAUUUCUGAUAUUCUCAAAUUUUGACUUGAACUUAAUUUAGUUCUCAUAGUUUCACACGCAUUUCAUUGAAAUUCCCAACUUUAUUGCAGAUGGAUGGACAAGGAGGUAGAAGAGGAAGAGGAGCAAGGGGAGGUAAAGGAGCAAGAUGACAACGUGGAGAAGCAAGAGGACAACGUGGAGGAGCAAGAGGAGGCAGAGGAGCUCUAAACUUAACAGGGGGUUUAGGAGGUAAGCAAGAUCAAGGUGAAACUCAUUCUCAAGUUCCAACUCAAGCUCAUUCUGAAUGUCCAAUUCAAUCUCAAUCUCAAGCUCAAAGGACGACAAUUUUUUCUGUUACAAGAGAAGGGUAUGUAUCUCAAGCACAAUGUGAAGCAUAACCUCAAGUUGCUGUUUCUACAUCACACCCUCAACCUUACUCAGCCAUCAGAAAUGAAAAUAGGUUUAGGUACAAGAUUCCAGCCAAACGAGGAAGGCCAUGGAAAGUGUAGUUGAUCUCCACGUGUCAUGUGCGUUUCGAGCAGAAUGUUUGUGCUCUUGUUUUGAUAACUAAAACCUUAUUUUGCUUGUGUUUGGUUAAGUGGAAUGCCCAUAUUUUGUAAUCGAGAUUAUAUGGGUUAUAUACCUUAUGGAUGGUAAAAUCUCUUAUGUUUUCCAACUUCUUAAGGAUCAUUUUGUGGAAUUGUAUUGGGAUUAUGACAUUAUGAAAAGUAUAUAAUUAUC